Molecule: ribosomal RNA, 501 nt
Filed under: uncultured bacterium
Lineage: Bacteria
Description: partial 16S ribosomal RNA
Rfam family: Bacterial small subunit ribosomal RNA
Source: RNAcentral
AUUGAACGCUGGCGGCAGGCUUAACACAUGCAAGUCGAGCGGAGAUGAGGUGCUUGCACCUUAUCUUAGCGGCGGACGGGUGAGUAAUGCUUAGGAAUCUGCCUAUUAGUGGGGGACAACAUUCCGAAAGGAAUGCUAAUACCGCAUACGUCCUACGGGAGAAAGCAGGGGAUCUUCGGACCUUGCGCUAAUAGAUGAGCCUAAGUCGGAUUAGCUAGGUGGUGGGGUAAAGGCCUACCAAGGCGACGAUCUGUAGCGGGUCUGAGAGGAUGGUCCGCCACACUGGGACUGAGACACGGCCCAGACUCCUACGGGAGGCAGCAGUGGGGAAUAUUGGACAAUGGGGGAAACCCUGAUCCAGCCAUGCCGCGUGUGUGAAGAAGGCCUUAUGGUUGUAAAGCACUUUAAGCGAGGAGGAGGCUACUGAGACUAAUACUCUUGGAUAGUGGACGUUACUCGCAGAAUAAGCACCGGCUAACUCUGUGCCAGCCGCCGCAGUAA